AAAUAGAUACCCCGGUAGUCCACGCCGUAAACGAUGAGUGCUAAGUGUUAGAGGGUUUCCGCCCUUUAGUGCUGCAGCUAACGCAUUAAGCACUCCGCCUGGGGAGUACGGCCGCAAGGCUGAAACUCAAAGGAAUUGACGGGGGCCCGCACAAGCGGUGGAGCAUGUGGUUUAAUUCGAAGCAACGCGAAGAACCUUACCAGGUCUUGACAUCCUCUGCCAACCCUAGAGAUAGGGGCGUUCCCCUUCGGGGGGACAGAGUGACAGGUGGUGCAUGGUUGUCGUCAGCUCGUGUCGUGAGAUGUUGGGUUAAGUCCCGCAACGAGCGCAACCCUUGAUCUUAGUUGCCAGCAUUCAGUUGGGCACUCUAAGGUGACUGCCGGUGACAAACCGGAGGAAGUGGGGAUGACGUCAAAUCAUCAUGCCCCUUAUGACCUGGGCUACACGACGUGCUACAAUGGAUGGUACAAAGAGCUGCGAACCCGCGAGGGUAAGCCAAUCUCAUAAAGCCAUUCUCAGUUCGGA
This 525-nucleotide ribosomal RNA is filed under the name uncultured bacterium. RNAcentral describes it as "bacterial SSU rRNA". It matches the Rfam family "Bacterial small subunit ribosomal RNA", at positions 776 to 1297 of the family's 1533-position model. The record is from RNAcentral.